CCUACGGGUCGCACCAGUGGGGAAUAUUGCACAAUGGGCGCAAGCCUGAUGCAGCCAUGCCGCGUGUAUGAAGAAGGCCUUAGGGUUGUAAAGUACUUUCAGUUGGGAGGAAGGCGUUGAUGCUAAUAUCAUCAGCGAUUGACGUUACCAACAGAAGAAGCACCGGCUAACUCCGUGCCAGCAGCCGCGGUAAUACGGAGGGUGCAAGCGUUAAUCGGAAUUACUGGGCGUAAAGCGCACGCAGGCGGUUGAUUAAGUUAGAUGUGAAAUCCCCGGGCUUAACCUGGGAAUGGCAUCUAAGACUGGUCAGCUAGAGUCUUGUAGAGGGGGGUAGAAUUCCAUGUGUAGCGGUGAAAUGCGUAGAGAUGUGGAGGAACACCAGUGGCGAAGGCGGCUCUCUGGUCUGUAACUGACGCUGAGGCGCGAAAGCGUGGGGAGCAAACAGGAUUAGAUACCCCCGUAGUC
RNAcentral lists this ribosomal RNA (465 nucleotides) under uncultured bacterium. RNAcentral describes it as "bacterial SSU rRNA". It matches the Rfam family "Bacterial small subunit ribosomal RNA", at positions 338 to 795 of the family's 1533-position model. The record is from RNAcentral.